This 101-nucleotide unclassified non-coding RNA is filed under the name Flavobacterium phragmitis. RNAcentral describes it as "Flavo-1 RNA". Lineage: Bacteria; Pseudomonadati; Bacteroidota; Flavobacteriia; Flavobacteriales; Flavobacteriaceae. The record is from RNAcentral.
AUUUAGCCCCGAUAGAAGCGGUAUCUCCCGAUUUAGAAAAACAAGGCUUUUUCAGUCGUAGUUUUUGUUGAUCAGGAAUUUAGCGGAUAGUGGAACAAAUG